Long non-coding RNA from Halichondria panicea, 571 nucleotides. RefSeq lists it as uncharacterized. NCBI's taxonomy places the organism in Eukaryota, Metazoa, Porifera, Demospongiae, Suberitida, Halichondriidae. The transcript is spliced from 2 exons. The record is from RefSeq and is a predicted model, not a curated record.
CAUCUACUUUCUUCCUGAGUAGAGCUGCCUCGUGAUCUAUCCACCCGAGAGAGUCUGUGUGGGCGUUGAGGAUGCGCACUAUCUGUGUGAACUGUGUGUGUGUGUGAGGGGGCAGGUGUGUGGGGAGUGUGGAUGAGAUACAGCAUGCACAGUGGUGUAACUUAAUUACUGGAUUUUCAUCAUCUGCUGAAGUAUUUGAUUUGUUCAUUUGCUCGAUAAUCAUCUUCAGAUCUGUAGACAUUUGUUUGAGUUGAGAGUCCACUGUUUCAGCCAUAGUGAACCUGAGGAGGGAAUGGAGGGGUCACUAUACACACACCCACACACGGGCAAGGAAUGACGGUGAACAACACGCACGCACACAUGCGUGGAGGGAUUGCUGCUAUUAUGGCUGCUAACGAUAGCUUUGUCUCAAACACAGGCAGCAAUGUAUAGUGUUACAGUGGGAGGUGGGUCAGUGUACACAGUCAACAAGUGACACGGCCGAAAUACAGCGGAGUAGAGGUUAAUGAGAAUACAGGGGAUUAGAGGUUAAUGAGAAUAACGUACCGAGAGAGUUAAUUACUCCUUAUAA